RNAcentral lists this ribosomal RNA (465 nucleotides) under uncultured bacterium. Its description in RNAcentral is "bacterial SSU rRNA". It matches the Rfam family "Bacterial small subunit ribosomal RNA", at positions 917 to 1382 of the family's 1533-position model. The record is from RNAcentral.
GGGCCCGCACAAGCGGAGGAACAUGUGGUUUAAUUCGAUGAUACGCGAGGAACCUUACCUGGGCUUAAAUGUAGGCUGCAUUCGGCUGAAAGGCUGAUUCCCUUCGGGGCUGCUUACAAGGUGCUGCAUGGUUGUCGUCAGCUCGUGCCGUGAGGUGUCGGGUUAAGUCCCAUAACGAGCGCAACCCUUAUCGUUAGUUGCCAGCGGGUUAAGCCGGGGACUCUAGCGAGACUGCCACCGUAAGGUGAGAGGAAGGUGGGGAUGACGUCAAAUCAGCACGGCCCUUAUGUCCAGGGCUACACACGUGUUACAAUGGCCGGUACAAAGGGCAGCUACUCCGCGAGGAGAUGCUAAUCUCGAAAGCCGGUCCCAGUUCGGAUUGGAGUCUGCAACCCGACUCCAUGAAGUUGGAUUCGCUAGUAAUCGCGCAUCAGCCAUGGCGCGGUGAAUACGUUCCCGGGCCUU